RNAcentral lists this ribosomal RNA (254 nucleotides) under uncultured bacterium. Its description in RNAcentral is "partial 16S ribosomal RNA". It matches the Rfam family "Bacterial small subunit ribosomal RNA", at positions 524 to 776 of the family's 1533-position model. The record is from RNAcentral.
CACGUAGGCACCAAGCGUUGUCCGGAUUUAUUGGGCGUAAAGAGCUCGUAGGCGGUUCGGUAAGUCGGGUGUGAAAACUUUGGGCUCAACCCAAAGCGUGCACUCGAUACUGCCAUGACUAGAGUUCGGUAGGGGAGUGGGGAAUUCCUAGUGUAGCGGUGAAAUGCGUAGAUAUCAGGAGGAAUACCUAUGGCGAAAGCAGGUAUCUGGGCCACAACUGACGCUGAGCUGCGAAAGCUAGGGGAGCAAACAGG